AACGAACGCUGGCGGCAUGCUUAACACAUGCAAGUCGAACGCCCCGCCUGGGUGGUGGCCGACGGGUGAGUAGCGCGUGGGAAUCUACCCAUCCCUACGUAAUAACGCAUGGAAACGUGUGCUAAUACCGUAUACGCCCUACGGGGGUAAGAUUUAUCGGGGAUGGAUGAGCCCGCGUUGGAUUAGCUAGUUGGUGGGGUAAAGGCAUACCAAGGCGACGAUCCAUAGCUGGUCUGAGAGGAUGAUCAGCCACAUUGGGACUGAGACACGGCCCAAAAUCCUACGGGAGGCAGCAGAAGGGAAUAUUGGACACUGGGCGCAAGUCUGAUCCAGCCAUGCCGCGUGAGUGAUGAAGGCCUUAGGGUUGUAAAGCUCUUUCACCGGAGAAGAUAAUGACGGUACCCGGAGAAGAAGCCCCGGCUAACUUCGUG
RNAcentral lists this ribosomal RNA (431 nucleotides) under uncultured bacterium. RNAcentral describes it as "partial 16S ribosomal RNA". It matches the Rfam family "Bacterial small subunit ribosomal RNA", at positions 29 to 507 of the family's 1533-position model. The record is from RNAcentral.